GCCAGCAUGGCGUAGUGGUUUGAGCACUGGAUUAUGGCUCUUGAGACCAGGGUUCAAUUCCCAGCUUGGCC
RNAcentral lists this transfer RNA (71 nucleotides) under Phrynosoma platyrhinos (Desert horned lizard). Its description in RNAcentral is "tRNA-OTHER". Lineage: Eukaryota; Metazoa; Chordata; Lepidosauria; Squamata; Phrynosomatidae. The record is from RNAcentral.